CUAUAAUCGUUUUAAUCGAUGGGGGGACGCAGUAGGAUAGGCGAAGCGUACGAUUGGAUUGUACGUCUAAGCAGUGAGAUUGAGUGUUAGGCAAAUCCGGCACUCUUAAGAUUGAGCUGUGAUGGGGAGAGGAAAUUGUUUCCUCGAGUCGUUGAUUUCACACUGCCGAGAAAAGCCUCUAGAUAGAGAUUAGGUGCCCGUACCGCAAACCGACACAGGUAGUCAAGAUGAGAAUUCUAAGGUGAGCGAGCGAACUCUCGUUAAGGAACUCGGCAAAAUGACCCCGUAACUUCGGGAGAAGGGGUGCUCUUUAGGGUGCAAGCCCAGAAGAGCCGCAGUGAAUAGGCCCAAGCGACUGUUUAUCAAAAACACAGGUCUCUGCUAAACCGUAAGGUGAUGUAUAGGGGCUGACGCCUGCCCGGUGCUGGAAGGUUAAGAGGAGUG
This 444-nucleotide ribosomal RNA is filed under the name Staphylococcus epidermidis. Its description in RNAcentral is "partial 23S ribosomal RNA". It matches the Rfam family "Bacterial large subunit ribosomal RNA", at positions 1447 to 1888 of the family's 2925-position model. The record is from RNAcentral. Lineage: Bacteria; Bacillati; Bacillota; Bacilli; Caryophanales; Staphylococcaceae.